RNAcentral lists this ribosomal RNA (253 nucleotides) under uncultured bacterium. Its description in RNAcentral is "partial 16S ribosomal RNA". It matches the Rfam family "Bacterial small subunit ribosomal RNA", at positions 524 to 776 of the family's 1533-position model. The record is from RNAcentral.
UACGUAGGGGGCUAGUGUUGUCCGGAUUUAUUGGGCGUAAAGAGCGUGUAGGCGGCCUGGUAGGUCUGCUGUGAAAACUCGAGGCUCAACCUCGAGAUGUCGGCGGAAACCAUCUGGCUAGAGUCCGGAAGAGGAGAGUGGAAUUCCUGGUGUAGCGGUGAAAUGCGCAGAUAUCAGGAAGAACACCUAUGGCGAAGGCAGCUCUCUGGGACGGUACUGACGCUGAGACGCGAAAGCGUGGGGAGCGAACAGG